This is a long non-coding RNA of Clupea harengus (Atlantic herring), 1481 nucleotides long. The record is from Ensembl. NCBI's taxonomy places the organism in Eukaryota, Metazoa, Chordata, Actinopteri, Clupeiformes, Clupeidae.
AAUGCAGUGAAAAUAGAAAAAACACAGCGUGUUUCCUCAUUGAGAUCUUUAUUACAAGAUGAACAACUCUUGUGGCAUUAAAAGGGAUCCAUUCAAUGGUUACACUUGAAAAUAUGCGCUGCUGUACUCUUAAGCAGCGGAGCCGACAGCUAGAAGCCGGUGCUCAUAAACACAACUGACCUUCGUUUUUUUUUUCUCUCUAACUAAUUCAUCUCACCUUUUGAAAUUCAUUCAUCUAGAUUCAUCGUGAUUAAAAGUUUGUUUUCUUCUAAAGACUAAAUCUUAUAAAUUAACGAGUAAUCACUUCAGACAGCGUGUAUUUUAGACACUGUUGUUUAAUUGUAUUUUUUUCGUGCUCUCUCUCCGUCAGCCAAGGAAUGUAUGCGAGACACAAUGGUGCCCCUCGACGGUAAAUUUUAAGAAUUGUCCCCUGAAGCAAUUCGAAUUGAUGGGCCGACAGUCACCGGCAACCUAAACUGCUACAGCGUUGGUAACCUUUUCACGGACUGGUCUAGUUAAUUUCCUAGAGAAGUCGUGGAGUGUGGGUUGGCGACCAUCUAACCUGGGACUGCUUUCUGCCGGGUGCUUUGCAUUAAGGUGAUACGAAGACGAGCUGCUUCUGUGAUAGCUACAUUCAGCUUGACAAAUGCUACAUACAACUUUAGUUUUGUCGAUCGUUCUGUCAUUUUGCCUCUUAAACAGAAACUUUCCGCCCAACAAUCCCUCAGCUCUCUCCAUCUUCAACUACCGUCUCGGUCUCUUCUAUCUAACUGACUGCAGACACACGGCGGUUUCGUGUCAGGGGUCAACGCACACCGGAAGUAAACAAAGUUGCGUUAACUGCGUUCAAAUAUUUGAUUGCAUUAAUCUCAGCCACAAUAAUGUCAAAGAAUAACGCGUUAACUUUGACAGCCCUAAAAUAAAUAAAUUACACGCACACUACGCAAAAGAACAUGCAUGCGUUUUAAUCGAUGAAAAAAUAAUUUCAUCGAGGAAAUUCUUAAUGAUCAAUUAAUCGAUCGUCGAUUAAUUAUGCCCAUCCCUAGUACUUGUUAAUUUCAAGUUAGAUACAGGAGCGGCAGUCACCGCCAUACCAGAAUCAGUGUACUCAAGAGGCAGAGAUGGUGAACUGCAAAAAGCACAGCGAUUGAUAUGUGGCCCCAAUAACCAACCAUUGACGGUACUGGGCACAUUUAAUGCAUGUCUUAAAAAGGGCAAACAGAAAACAGAGCAGGAAAUAUUUGUAGUCCAGGAUCUAGUGAUGCCACUGCUAGGUCUCCCUGCUAUUCAGAGUCUACCGCUGCUCCAGCAGGUGGCAGCAGUCCAAGCCAUGGGAAACAAAUUUAAGACCAUGUUCCCAAAGGUUUUCUUAGGCUUAGGGAAGCUACAAGGUAGCUAUAAGAUUGAGUUAGCCGACGGUGCAAUGCCAUAUGCCCUAUCAGCUCCUAGACGUGUAGCAUUACCUCUCAUGGAUAAAGUGA